RNAcentral lists this microRNA precursor (193 nucleotides) under Morus notabilis. RNAcentral describes it as "MIR159 microRNA precursor family". It matches the Rfam family "MIR159 microRNA precursor family". The record is from Rfam by way of RNAcentral. Lineage: Eukaryota; Viridiplantae; Streptophyta; Magnoliopsida; Rosales; Moraceae.
GAGGUCCAAAUGGGGCUCUCUCACUCCAAAUCUGAAAGGAGAUGACGGUAUUCUUUGGCUGCCAAUUCAUGAGCACCCAUGGAUGCACAUUCUAAUACGACAAGAGCAUUCUAAGGGUUUGCAUGAAUUGGGAGACGAAGUUUCCUUGAUCCUUUUUGGUAUUGGAGUGAAGGGAGCUCCGAAUGGACACUCU